This 86-nucleotide unclassified non-coding RNA is filed under the name Chryseolinea serpens. RNAcentral's name for it is "Flavo-1 RNA". The record is from RNAcentral. Lineage: Bacteria; Pseudomonadati; Bacteroidota; Cytophagia; Cytophagales; Fulvivirgaceae.
ACAUUGCCCGGCCAGGGAUAGAAACGGAAAGCCCGAAGUGCGUGGGCCCCUCGGAAUCGGACUUGGAGUGGAUAGCCCGACCGAAC